UUUUUUUUUUUUUUUUUUACAUUCAUUGUCAUUUUUUCCUAUAACCAAUUUUACGAUAAUAAGUCUUUAAACAUAACUAAAAAAAUUGGAACCGUAAUCGAAAAAAAUCAAAACCAUGACUAGUGCCGAAGGUUCAAGAACCGUAACCAUAAGCAUCCUUAUAAGGAUCGGUUUAGGUUUUCCUUUUAACAAAAUCAAAAUCUUCAAUUUUUAAAUCGAAAGUAUUGAUUUUAGAACCGUGGUCAUGCCUAUUUGGCAAAUGGGAGCACAUGUUACUCCAAAUCAAAGAAAAUGUGGGGUUGUCAAUCCACUCAAGGUGUGGAAAAUAGAAGUAUAAGCUGAAUUGGUGGAGGCAAGGCAAUUGUAAUAUUUGCAAAAGUAAAUCUUAUAUACACUGAAAAUGUUUACACAUCACCAUUUGAUUCAUGAUAUACAGGAAAUUCUUCCAAACUCGUGGUCUUCACAAUAUUAAUGAUUUUUUCUAUUUUCACGUGAUAAAAUUGGACCUCAUGAUUUGGACUUUUCCAUUGCUAGAUAAUAAUAUAAGAAGGGUUUGUUUGGAUUGGCCUUUAUUUUCCCAAAUAUAUUUGUUUUCAUGAUCAUUACAAUUUUCAAUACACUUUUUUACCUUCUCAAUUACCUUUUUAUCUCACAUACAUCACAUCACAAAAAGUACUACAGUAAAAAUAUCUCAAAUAACUUAUAAUCCAAACAAACCCAGGCAAAGAAAGUUUUGUUGUUGAGUAACUAGUGAUAGAUCUGGAAAGCUUUAGGUAGUUGUGGUGGUAAAUGAGCAGAGAAAAUUAAUUGAUAGGCAAUAUCAUAAUAAUAGCACCACAUAUUUGUAAGUUGUACCUUUUUAGUCUUUCGAUGAUUCAAGUUUGAUGAUUACAAAUUGCAGCUAAGGAGAUAGCCAAGAGAUGAAAUCUUGGAUGGGUUUUAAAGGAUCAAAUAUGGCUUAGUUUCGGUUAUUGCAUCAUAUCAAAUGGGUAAAGAAACAAUAAACAACCCUAAGGGAUGGAAUAGAAUAGAGAAAGGGUUUGUUUUACAUUUAUUUUUUAAAGUUUUUGAUUUGAAUGAGUGUGCAAGAGUUGGGGAUGUUUUUGAAAUAUUUUAUUGUAGUAAUAUAUAUGAAAAACUUUUACUGUAAAUAUUUUUAAUGAUGUUUUUUGAGAUAUUUUUGAGAUAUAUUUUAGGGUAUUUUUAAGAUUUAAAAAUUUUUAGAAUAAUUUUUAAAAAUUAACACUCCACCCACAAUCAAUAUCCACCACCGCUAUCAUCCCCUCUCUCCCUCCUCCUCUCUUAUUCCCGUACCUCUUCCUCCUCCCUCUCUCCCCUCCCACCCUUUCCUUUCCUUCAUUUUCUCGCUAGAACCCGGGCCUCCCCUUCCUUGCUCUUUCCAAUUUAACCUCAUUGAGACCGGAUCCUGGCCUUCGAUUGAGGCCUUCUGGUUGAGGCUAGAGGGGAGGAGAUGGGGUAUCGUGUGGAAGGGAAAAGGAGAGGAGGAGGCAGAGGGAAGGAGAGGAAUGAGGAGGAAAAAGAGGGAGAGGAAAGAGGAGAAAAGAGAGGGAGGAGUAAGAUGGUGGGUGGGGGUGAUAGAUUAAAGAAGAAGAUAAUAUAGAUUUUAUUUUUUAAUUUUUGAUAUAUUUGAAAUUAUUUUUGAUAUAUUGUAUGGAUAUGGUAUUUUUAGAAUUAUUUUUAUAUGUGUUGCUGUAACAUUGUAUGUGAAAAAAUUGGUUUUUCAAAAAGUGGAGAAUCCAAAUAGAGCCUAAGUUCUUUGGACUACAAGAUAUGGUAUCACAAUGUGCUCGGCAUCAUGAUCAUCUAAUUGACAAAUAAGGGUAGCCAUGAUUCAAAUUUGAACUGGAACACAACCGAAAUCAGAUUGACAAUUUAUUGAAUUGCAAGCAACUAGAAUUGAAUUUUGGAAACCAAAAUUGAAACCAUAACCGUGACUAAAAUUUAGGUUCAAAUUCACUAAAAUUUUGAACCAGAAUCAAAAUCAACGGUUUACUAACCGCUCAAACCAUUUGAAAAAAUAUUUGCUACCUAAACGUAUUUAACUAGUUUAGAGUUCAACGUCAAUACUCACCAUUUAAUACUCGUAACUCCAAUUAUGAUCCAACAACUAUUUGUCCCAUUCCAUUAGUAAGUCUAUACUCCAUGACUAAUCUAAAUCCAAGAUGAAUAUAAUUUAAUUAACAAUGAGAUAUUUUUCAUAAAAAUUGCAUCAUUUUUCUUUUUCCUUACACAUGAUAGCAUAAUAAAUUUCUUUCUUUCUUUUUUUUUUUUUUUUUUACAUUCAUUGUCAUUUUUUCCUAUAACCAAUUUUACGAUAAUAAGUCUUUAAACAUAACUAAAAAAAUUGGAACCGUAAUCGGAAAAAAUCAAAACCAUGACUAGUGCCGAAGGUUCAAGAACCGUAACCAUAAGCAUCCUUAUAAGGAUCGGUUUAGGUUUUCCUUUUAACAAAAUCAAAAUCUUCAAUUUUUAAAUCGAAAGUAUUGAUUUUAGAACCGUGGUCAUGCCUAUUUGGCAAAUGGGAGCACAUGUUACUCCAAAUCAAAGAAAAUGUGGGUUGUCAAUCCACUCAAGGUGUGGAAAAUAGAAGUAUAAGCUGAAUUGGUGGAGGCAAGGCAAUUGUAAUAUUUGCAAAAGUAAAUCUUAUAUACACUGAAAGUGUUUACAUUAUCACCAUUUGAUUCAUGAUAUGUAUGCAAAAAUUAAAUUUUAAAUUUGAAUUUUGUAUAGUUGUCAUUCAUCUAACGCUGAUAGUGUAUAUACACUGUUAGUGUAAAAAAAAUUAAUCCUAUUUGAAUCUAAAAGUAAGAAAUAUAAGUGUGUGCUUAAAAUUCCAAGAAGCUGUUAUCUCGAAACGAGCUUUAGACCAACAAAUCCUCAUAAAACAAGGCCAAGAAGCUAUUCAAGAAACCAAUUAUAUAUUGAAUCUUCAGUAAUUAAUCGAUUAGGAAAGUUCUUGACUAAGCAUGCAUAAUGCAAUGGAACAUUUAAACCGUCUUUCUGGACUUCUUAAAUUUGUUGAGCCUUUAGUGUACUUUAGGUUUAAUUUGCCUUGCAUAUGCGACUAAUUUUAAUCCAUAUAUUUUGUUCAGUGACUUGAGUCUAAGGCUUGUCAGUAAAAUUAAUCGCUUGCUAGCAUUAUACAGUUUCAAUAGCAUUUUUUACAUUGUGAUAUAUGCGAGAACAAAAGAUUAUUGAAAAGAUAUAAAUUUUGAUUGGAAAAUAUGUUUAUAAUGCAAACAUAUAAUUUUUUGUAAAUAUAAUGUGAUAUCCAAACAAACCCAUUGUUAUAGCUAUCUUUUAGGCAGAUGAAGAAGCAAAACUGCGUGCCAACUGGUGCAUUGCAUACAAAACAAUUAAGACUUUGUUUGAUAACUCAACUUAAUCCUUAAUUUUAAUGGAUUUAAAUUUUAAUAUUUUCAGAUCGUUUGAUAAGCAAAUAUUGAGCAUCUAAAUUUAAUAAGUGGCACUAAAUUUUUUAUGCAAAAUUUGUUCCAAAAUUAAAUGAUAAACUAUUCAUUUAUCACUGAAUCUGAUAUGCACUCAAAUGUAUUAGAUUUAAUGUUUAACAAUUCAAUAACUUAAUGGAUUCAAAUUUCAUAUUUCAAACUUUAAUUUUAUUAAACGCACCUAAGUAUCAAUCAAGUUCCUAUAACUUCAUGGCAUAAUCCUAUUGCCAUUUCUAGCUCAAACACUGGGUUUGUUUGAAUCCAUUAAACAAUUGACAAAUAAUUCUACAAAUAAUACUCAAUUUUUUGCAUGAGCUUCAAUGUUGAUUAAUUUGUCAAUUGUUUCCAAUUUUUUGCGGCCAUUUACUAUUUUUAUGCGUCUAAUUAGAAGUAUGAAAAGAGAUAUGUACCAUGACAGAUUUUUAUCAAAAUUUUAACAUAUUAAUUACUGCAACUUUUUCAACGAUCGAAUAUGCACGGAGCCACAACGUUAAAUUACUCAUUUGAUGAUAUAUUCACACUAAAAAAGAAUGACUGGCUUGGGAUGUUAUUCAGAAAUAGAGUGCAAUUUAGGUAAGUAUAAUUGUAAAAUCUAAAAUUUUUGUUGUCAUUCGUGAUUUAUGAAAUUUUUUUCUAAAAAGCUCCCAAUAAAUGAAAAUGGUUACUACUAUUAUACCUUCAGUCACACCUCACAUUUCCAAAAUAUUGUCAUUAAACACUUUGCAGAUAAUUAAUUGAUGUAUUUGAAUCACCACUUUUAUUCUUUUCAAGUACAUAAUGAAUACAAAAUUUUGCUAGUGAUAUUCUCAAUCUCAAAUAAACAUCCUCUUUUAAUGUAAUCUCAAAUUAAUUCAACUCUAUCGUCUAUAACCAAAUCUCAAAAGAAUUCAGUUCUUGUUUAAAUUGAAGGCCUCAUUUUACAAAUGAGUUUUUUUAGCGUUUGUUUAAAAUUUUAAUGUAGUAUUGUAGGAAAAAUUUUUAAAGUGUAUAAAAUUUUAGAUAUGUUGAAGUGUAUAGUUUAAAAAAUUUAAGAAGUUUUUUGAGGUUAUUGUAGUUAAACCUUUUAAAAAAUUUGUAGAAAUCAAAAUUGACCAAAAUCUUGUUUGCCAAACGAGGCCAAACACGCCCGUAGGCCUCGUUUGUCAAAUGAUUUUUUUUGAUAUUUAUCUAAAAUUUGACUGUAACUUCAUUAGAAGUUAUAGAAAAAAUUUUUGAAAUGUAAUUUUUUGAAUAUUUUGAAGUGUAUAGUUUAAAAACAUUGAAAAGUUUUUUGAGGUUAGUAAUAUUUAAAGUUUUAAAAAAUUUGUAAAAGACAAAUUUGGCAGAAAACUUAUUUGCCAAACAGACUCGUAAUUUUCUAAAGAAAAACUUUUAUAUUUUUCAUAUAUAUAUAUUUUAAUUAAUUUUUACUUCACCCAUAUCAAAUCAAAUUGAUACAAUAUAUAAUUUUUUUAAAUAAAAAUUAUAAAAAAUAAUCUAGACUAGACCUUGUAAUAUUCACGUUCUAUUCAGUAUCGGGUAGCAACCCGUGAGUCUCGUUAUUACUAGGGAUGGUAAUAGGGAUGGGUGCCCGCGGGUGCCCGCCCCGCGGGGGCUCACGGGGCGGGGGCGGGGUAUACUCCCCCGCCCCAUCCCCGCCCCGCCACCCGCAAAAAAAAAAAAAUAUAUAUAUAUAUAUAUAUAUAUAUAAAUGACUAUAUAUUAUAUGUAAGUUAAUUAGUUAUAAACUUAUGAUAAUGAUAUUAUUAAUUAGAUGUAUUAUAUAAUGUAUAUUAGUUUAUGUAAUAUAAUUGAUAUUAUCAAUUAUAUGAAUAAUUAUACAUGUCUACUAAUAUAAUUUAUUAAUUAGUUAUACUAAAUUUACUAAUACAUUUAUACUAAAUUUCUAAUUACACUUAAUAGAAUAACACUUUUUCUAAAAAAAAAGCACAAAACAAUGAUGAAUUAGUGAUUGCAUUUGUACUAAAAGUGAAAAUUUGACUAUUUUAGUUAUAUUUAUUUCAUCAUAUUGGAUUGUAUUCAAAUAACUUCUGUUUGAUUGUUUUUAUGAGUUUCAAUUGUAAAAUUACAAUGAAUAAUAAUUUGGUGAUGUGUUGAUAUUUUAGUACUUGAUUAUUUAUUAAAAUUUAAUUAUAAUAAAAUUUUAUUAAUCCCGCGAGUGCUCCGGGGCAAGACGGGGCUGGGGCGGGGCGGGGCGGGGGGAGCGGAGGCGGGGAACGGAGCGGGGGACGGGGGGAACUAAUAGGCAACGGGACGCGGGGACGGGGGAGGGGUCCCCGCCCCAACCCGCCCAGUUGCCAUCCCUAGUUAUUACCCAAUACCCAUACCCAUAUUCAAACGCCAAUGAUUAUCCAACCCCUCAACGUUCACUUUCCUCGGACUUCACUUCCCUCGUUCAAAUCCACUUCAUUCACUCCCCGAAAUUCCGCCUUCCCGCCUAGAAAUAUUUUCAAAUUCACAUUAAAAAACUCGCAGCAAAAGACAGGGAAGAAGAAGCCCUCCUUUUCAAAAACAAUACCCCAUUUCCUUCACCUUCUUCCUUACCCCCUCAAAAAACCCUUUCUACUCUUUCCCCAUUUUCCACAAAUCUCUUCCAUCGUUCUUGAACUAAUUCUUUCACCUCCGAAAUGGGGAAGAGGAAGGGUUCAUCGACGCCGGCAGCUUCGAGGGAGAAAUCUAGGGCUUCUUCUUCUUCUUCGGUAGAGAAGAAGUCGAAGCGACAAAGGAUGAAAGUUGAGUCGGUUCCGGCAAAUGUGGAUAGUGAUUUCAUGGAGGAGCCGGACGUGGUGGUUGUGUCGGAUGACAAUGAACGGGAGGAUGGAGGUGAGGUCGAGGAGAGAGCUCGCCUAUGUCGCCGGCUGAGAGGAAGACAAAAAGGCGCGUUCUUGCGGAAAAUGAGGAGGAAGGUGAUUUUCGGUUUCUUGGUGAGCCUGUUGCUGACAAGGAGGCUCGUUGUCGGUGGCCUCAUCGAUAUGCAGUCAAGCAAAAGGUCGGAAAUGUUUUGGUUUAUUGUAUAUAAUCGACAGCUAUGGAUUUGUACAUGUGUUUACCUGUGAAGAGUAGAUGAACUUAAUCUGAAAAGGGUAUCUUUUACGAUUCUUCACUUUUCGUUUUUUUUUCUGAGAGUAAGAUUUUAUUCUCCAUUUUUUGCGUAUUCUGAAAAAAUUAGGGCUUUUUUUUAAAGGGUUCUGGACAUUCUUUAUUGUGAUUAUAUUUGCAAGUACGUUGAAUGUGAAUAAAGUUUCAUGUCUUUCCUGAUACAAAGCUGGUUUUUGGCUGUUUUUGUAAGUAAUAAAGAACAAGGACUUUUGUUUUUUCCAAAGAAACAUUUGAGACGAUGUCAACUUUUUGGUCUUUUUAAUAUGAUACAAAUCAGUAGGAGCGCAAGCACAUGUAACCGAGAUUAUAGCAGAUAAAUUGAGGAAAAAGAUGCUGGAAAUAUUGUCGUUGUAGUAUGUCAGAUAUGGGAGCUAGUUUGGAGUAUUAAAAGGGUAUUGAUAGCUGGCCAGAUUAUCCUGAAUAAGCUCAAGUGUCUUUCAACAUGGACGCCCUGAAAACUAAUGUUAGCAGUUCCUUGGGCUUCUUCGCAAGUCUCUGUUUUAUUCUUAGAAUCUCACUGUUGAGGUUAACAUACGACCGUUCUAUGGACAUUGGGAUUGUAUUUCCUUCAGUUGUUUGCUAGUGUCAAAAGUUUUGUCUUUUGGAUCAUGCCAAGUUUGUCCAUUGGUCUUACGCUUUAAACUCGUUCUUUUGCUUUAAACUCGUUCUUUUAUCUUUCGGUGAAUCUAUAUGUUUUCCAUUCUGAGUCUAUCUCGUUUUGGGUGGAAAACUUUGGCUUUCGGAUAAUGCUUUGGUUUUAGUUACUUGUCACUAUAAAAUCUUUAUCUGGUUUAUUCGAAGUUUGAUAAUUAGUGUAUCCUUCUGCGAGUAUGGGUUUUAUAGACUUAAUGGGGGAUUACUCAUCUUGGCUAAGAUUAAUUUUGUCCACAACCUGCACGAACUCAAUGGGAACUUUUAGACGAGCAAAAAAUACUUUUCAAGUGGAUUCUGCGCAAACAAUUUUUCCAUUAGCUCCCUUUAGCAAAUAGGAGGCUGUAUGUUGUCAUUGUUUUAUCUUUCUGAUAAUUAGUAUCCUUUCUUUUAGUGAAUCUUUAUGAACUAAUAGUUAAAUAAAGGUAAUUGUUGUUCUUAAAAGAGCCUUAGUAUGAAAUACUUUUGGUUGGAUCUAAGUGUAGGAGAUACCCCAAUUAUGAACUAAAAAUGGUUUGGUUUUUUGUCAUUCAAACAAAACUUGUUCAUGUUAUCAGCUAUAAUCAUCAUGCUGAAUGUUGAUGUGCACAAAUUUAAUUUGAAUUUUUGGCUGAGUUAAUGAGCUAAUUGUUUUGGUUAUACAGAGGAAACAAAAUGCAGUUUUAAAAGACUCAAAAGGGUGAGUAUAUGGUUCUUGAUUAUUUAAUUUUCUCAUUCUAGUUCUACUUAUUAGAACUCUUUGCAUAUAAAUUGUUGUUCUUUAAUUGCUUGCAUUUUUUUUCUAUUCACUUGGAAAGUGAGGAUGACUCUGAAGAAUUUAUCGAUGCUAAAAGACACUUCACUCAAGCAGAAGUUGAUGGGCAGAUUUUUAACUUGGAAGAUGAUGCUUAUGUACAGGUACAGGAACUUUGCUUCCUUUUUCUAGUAAAUGGAAGAUUUUGCUAGUAUGACAUUUUGAGUGGGCUAGGUCUAGUCAUACCAAAUCAAAACCUAUCUAGUCUAGAGGUGACCUGCACAUAUCGUGUUUUCUGUCAAGGUUUUUAGCAUCUGUCAUGGGUGUGCAAUGAGCUUAAUGUAAGAUUCAUCUCUUGCUCCUGCAUUUGCUUUUUCCAGUGCUGUUAUGUAACAAGGAAAUAAUCUGUUCUCAGUAUAAAUAUGUAGUUGUUGUCAUAUCUUGAAACUCGAAUGCUAUGUGAUCUUUUUAACUUAUGAUUGUUAAGACUGAGUAAUGAUUUUGGAGAAGUAAAAGGAGGGUUUUAAGUUUGUUUACUUGGACUUAGAUGUCCAGCUUUUUUAAAUGGUCUCAGAUAUCAUAGACCAUGUAGUGUUCCAAAACUUAUGAGAUUUUGUGGAUGUGGCAUCGUUUCUAUUUCUUUUAACUGUCUGAAUUCUACGGGGUUCAUUAUCUUUCCAGAAAAUUUAAUGUGAAUUUCCUACCCAUAAAUAUCGUAACUUUUUUUGGGUGUCUUGUUAAUCUUGUUAUGUAUUGCAGGUGAUCCUUGUGGCUUAGCGUUUUUGCAUUGAAGAUUGUAUAAUCAAGGCCUAGAUAUUUUUUUCUUAUAAGUUGAUUCUAGUUUUUUCUUUCUUUCUUUUUUUGGGUUCAAUUUUCCCUUUGCUGAAAGCUGCUUUUAGAGGUUUUUGUUUUUAUCUGUGAAUUUAAAUUAUUUUAACCAUCAGAAAGCUAUUCGUGAGAAACAACUCUAGAGAUUUUUUCCACUGUACUUUUGCUUUCGAAAUUGAGACAAAAAUACCUUUUCAGGAUUUAAACAGCUUGGAGUGUCAUUUUUUGGUUAUAAUCUUUUGAAAUGUGCCAUUUAUGGAGUAUAACAGGCUAAUACCAAAAUAGGAGGAAAUUUUAAAGAGAAAAUAAAUCUUAUAUUGUUGAGAGUUGCCUUCUUUGACAACUUUGUUAGCCUGGAUUUCAUUGUCUUGGUUUUGCCGGUAUUUUGAAUCACAUGUAUCCAAAUCUGGUUCAGAAAGUUGUUUAAUUCUUGCCUAAUUAACAUGCUGUCACAAGGCUGAAGUAGGCAAAAGAAAUUACAUCUGCAAAAUAGUGGAGAUGUUUGAGGGAACUGAUGGCAUGCCGUAUUUCACUGCUCAGUGGUUUUACAGGGCCGAGGAUACUGUAAGGCUUGACAAUCAUUCCUUUAAAUAUCUGUAUUUUCAAUUUCCAUUUUCUGAAUUAUACUGCCACUUCCUGUGGUCAGAUCAUUACAGAAUGUCAUGAAUUUAUAGACGAAAAGCGAGUAUUCUUUUCUGAAGUCAAGAAUGACAAUCCUUUGGACUGUCUGGUUAAGAGACUUAGGAUCGCCCGGCUGCCGCCAAAUGUAUGCUGACUUACCUAAGAAACGUCUUUUCAACUUUGAGCUUCUGUAAACCUUUUUAACAGGACCGGCUGCUAUUUCAGAUGGAUUUGGAAUGCAAGGAUGCUGCAAAAUCAAAUUGUGACUAUUAUUAUGACAUGAUGUUCUUAGAGCCUCACUGCACGUUUAUCAGCUUGCCGCCUGGUAACUUUUUUCCUUUAUAUAUUGUCAGCAACAAAUUACUCUUUCUUUUUUCACAAACUUUAUAGUGUAAAGUUUUGGAUGAUAUUUAUAUUGUCCAGAGAAUAAUGGAGCUGGAAGUGACUCUGGCUCUACAAUAUCGAGUGAAGCUGAUGCUACUGGAGCAGUGGCUAGUGGUGUAGAGGUCUCCCAAGAAGCAAACCACUUGGAGAUGAGGCUACUGGACCUGUAUUCAGGCUGUGGGGCAAUGUCCACUGGACUUUGCCUGGGAGCUUAUAGCACUGGUGUUAAACUUGUUACCGUAAGGACAAUAAGUUUUCUUGAACUUCUUUCUAGUUGUUAUGUCGUUCUUUACCAUUAAAAUAACUUCUCAAUGCAGAAAUGGGCAGUUGAUGUAAACAAGUAUGCAUGUGAAAGUCUAAAAUGGAACCAUCCGGAGACUGAGGUGUAUAUUGCUCCAUAUGGUUUUGUAUCCAUUAUUUCUAUAUUUAUAACCUUGUUCAGGAUACAUUUUUCUUCUUGAUAAUUUCUUUUUGAUUAAGGUACGAAAUGAAUCUGCCGAGAACUUUUUGCUUUUGAUUAAGGAGUGGGAGAGGCUUUGUGUCUCCUAUGCAUUAGUAGAAAGCAAUGUUCUACCACAUCCGUAUGUUAGCUCGUCAAAUGAGCAAGUAGAUGAAGUUGGUGGAGAUGAUGAAGAUGACGAUGUUGAUGAUAGUGAUGGUAAUAGUUCUGAAGUUUUUGAUGUCAAAGAGGUAUUGGCUAUGUGCUAUGGGGAUCCAAAAGAGAGUGGUGCUGUUGGUCUUUACUGUAAGGUAUACUUGUUGGAUUAUCAGUGUACCUUUAUAUCUCUAUCUUGCCUUUUUAAACAUUUUCAAUUAGCUUUGGCUUGUAGUAAUGUCUCUAAAAUGCAAUUUAGAUUCGCUGGAAAGGUUAUGGACCAGAUGAUGAUACAUGGGAGCCUAUAGACGGUUUAAGGUAGGCAUUAAGUCUGGUUUGCUUAGUGAUUUCUUGAUGUUAUUUGUUUCCUUGAAACAAUCACUGACCUUCUAUACGUGUUUCUUAGUGAUUGUCAAGAGAAGGUGAAGGAAUUCGUCACUAAAGGUUACAAAAGAAAGAUUUUGCCUUUGCCUGUAAGUUCAAACAUCUUCCAAAGAGAUGUGAAGUAUACUGGACUACUGCAGAUUAUGUUAUCUAAUUUGUUGGUUUCUUGAUGUCUUGCAGGGAAAUGUCGAUGUUAUAUGUGGGGGCCCUCCUUGCCAAGGAAUAAGUGGGUUUAACCGAUUUCGGAAUACAGACCAACCAUUACAAGAUGAAAAAAAUAAGCAGCUUGCCGUCUUCAUGGAUAUUGUGGCUUUUCUAAAGCCUAGAUUUGUGUUGAUGGAAAAUGUUGUUGAUUUGAUUAAGUUUUCCAAAGGGUAUCUUGGGAGGUAUGCUUUUGCUCGGCUUCUUGCUAUGAACUAUCAAGCACGACUUGGAAUGAUGGCUGCUGGUGCUUAUGGUCUCCCACAGUUUAGAAUGCGUGUCUUUAUGUGGGGUGCUGUUCCUAAAGAGGUGAUACUCAGUUUUUCUUUUUCUUAUUUAUUUAUUCAGGUUUCAAGGCGUCUUUCUCUCUCAUUAGCAGUACUUACUCUUCUAUUAAUGCAGAAGUUGCCUCAGUACCCAUUGCCUACCCAUGAUGUCGUUGUGAGAGGGGUUGUUCCCAAGGAAUUUGAGGUAGGCUAUGGAUGGUAGAAAAAUAUUAUACAAUUUGAUUUUUGCUUCUUUAUUAGCCUAAAUCUUCUGUGUCAAUGUAGUCCAAUACUGUAGCUUAUGAAGAAGGUUCAAAAGUUGAAUUGGAGAAGGAGCUUUUUCUUGAAGAUGCUAUUUCUGAUCUUCCACCGGUAUAUAUUGCCAAUACUAAGCUUUUUUAAUUAAUGUAUGCCUCUAAUGUUCCUUAUAUGCUUAAAACUCUCUCUUGCAAACUUAACAUUUAGGUUGAAAAUGACGAGCCACGAGAUGAAAUGCCAUAUGGUGGUGCGUCCAAGACUGAAUUUCAAAACUUCAUCAGAUUGAGGAAAGAUGGUAAGUUCAUAUUUCUUUAUUUCUCCUUGAAGUACUUCUGGAUUUAUAAUUUUCAAUGCCUUAUUUUAAACUUGGAAUUCUUGCUUGUCUUGGUGAGCAUGGUAACGUGAUUCUAAUGGAUGCUAAAAAAUUUAUCCAACAUUUUUGAUCCAGAGCAAACAAUACACGUUUGCUGGUGCUUAAAAGUUUCCAGCUAUAUUUGUCAUUCAUUGUUUAUGUUGUGAAAAAAGUUGGUUUACCAACUAAGCAUCGAACUAUUUACAUUCUUAAAUCUGGAAUGUAAUACUUAAAUCCAUGAAACUAAAAGUACUUUGUUUUAUAGGUUUCCUUUUUCUAUGGCUUUUAGCUUGUCUUAAUUGAGCACAAUGGAUUACGUUCUGAUACAGGUUCUCUGCGUAGUUUGAGUUUGAAAAGUUAUUGAAUGUCGUCUUUCACAUUUUUUUCUUUCUGAUGCAGAAAUGCCAGGUAGUCUAGGCUUUGGAUUAGAAGUAGCUCCACAUUUGCUGUAUGACCAUAGGCCGCUCCAACUAAAUAGGGAUGAUUAUAGUCGGGUGUGUCAGAUUCCCAAGAAGAAGGUAUAUUUUAGUUCGUUAGUCUUUUUCAUUUUUAUGUUUUUUUUCCUGUCAAAGGACCUUCUCAUGUAUUUAUGCUUUUCAGGAGCUUUGUUAUGUAAAUUGUCAAUUGAAUACUACCUGCUUCUGAACUAUUUGUACCAUGGUUGCUAGGGUGCAAACUUUAGAGAUUUGCCUGGUGUAAGAGUCCGUGCUGAUAACAAGGUGGAAUGGGAUCCAGAUAUAGAGCGUGUCUAUCUGCCCUCAGGAAACCUUUGGUACGACUUCUUGAAUUCUAUAUUAUGCAGAUCAGCAUGUAUUUGUUUAUUUCUUCAUUGAUAAUCCUUACCCAGUGAGUUGCUUGUGCAGGUACCUGAUUAUGCUAUGACUUUUGUUGGUGGAUCUUCAUGCAAGUAAUCUUCAUUUCUCUCUAUGUUCUCAAAUUGCUUGUUUGAUGAAUUUUUUUGUUUUGGCUUUUCACACAACUAUUUUCAUGCCAUUUAGGCCUUUGGACGAUUGUGGUGGAAUGAGACAGUACCUACAGUUGUCACACGAGCAGAACCUCACAAUCAGGUACUGUUGUUGUCACUUUCUAAUUUAAUUGAAUAUUCUGGUUUGCUGUUUUAUACUUCACUGAAUGAAUCUUCUUUGGACUUUGUCAGACCAUAUUGCAUCCAAAGCAAGACAGAGUCCUUACAAUCCGAGAGAACGCGACUCCAAGGAUUUCCUGAUUAUUACAAACUUUUUGGCCCCAUUAAAGAGGUAAAAGCUGAGGAACAAUUAUGUUUCUGACAUAUUUAGGCAUUCUAUAGAGUACGCUAAUAUGAUCCUCAGGUUCUCUCAAUCCUUGUUACACCUCGAAUAAAACAAACUACUCUUGGCCUCAUACUUAGUCUUUUUCCAUUAGUUAGAAUUUGUAGAUAUAUGUUGAAACGAGGAAAAAAAAUUGCAGUAGCAGUGGGUUUGUCCUGUCAGAGUGAAAGAAAAUUAGACCCAAAAAGUUUUUCCCUUUCACCUGUUCUCAUAAUGACAGUGAGGAUUUAGGACAUGUUGCUGACGAAUAUGGCAAUGCAUGGGUUGUGUGAUAAAAUGGUGAAGAGGUUGUAGAACUCUUAAAAGCUUAAUUUUGAGAUGGAAGUGUUCAAUGUAUUGCAUCUAGAUUUCACUGUGAAAGUAAAAUAUCAACUCAACUAGACAGAGGCUUUUCAGUAUAUUUCACCUAGUUUCGCAAAAUCUGGGACCUUCUGCACUUCAGAUAAUCUGUGAGCCAAAUUCCAAAUGGCGUCUACUUAGUGUGCAGAGCACAAGUUACUCUUCUGGAACUGUUUCAGAAAGGCAGCUGGUUUUAGUUGUCUGUCAGCUUCUGUUUCUUCAUGAGUUUGGUCAUUGUCAAUAGGCCUGUGUUGCUCACAUGUUGAGAUGUUAUUUAUAUAGGCAAUUAGUUGCUGAUUUGCUUGACUGCAUCGUGAAAUUUGAUUUGCUUGACUGCAUCGUGAAAUUUGCUGAUUUGCUAUAUGUUGAAGAAAGCCAUGUUCAUUAUCCUGAAAUUUGAUUGGCUUAUUUGGUAAUCAACAAUAUUAUAAUACCUCCUAUGUGAACACGGAAUGGAUAUCUGUUUGCAAUUAUUAACACUCGAUGUUUAUGAUACUCCAGGUACAUUCAAGUUGGCAACGCAGUUGCUGUGCCAGUUGCUCGCGCUUUAGGAUUUUCUUUAGCUUUGGCUUUGAAGGGUUUGUCAGGCGACGAACCAGUACUGCAAUUACCAAAGAGCUUUCCAAAUAAUGUCGAGCUUCCUGCAGAAGUGUCUUCAUGAAGGAAGCCAAAUUUGUGUUUUUGUAACCCAUCCAACACAAAAUUACAUGCCAUUUAUUGGUCACAUUUAUUGUUAUUUGUCGGAAUUGUUCAUAAUUUGUAUCAUUUGAGUACCAUGUUACUAUUAUUUACUCCAUGAAACAGCAUGUGCUGAAAGUAGUACUGCUGAACUCUUGCUGAUCAACUGAUCCUCACACGUUGUGAUGUACGAGCUGAACGUGUUGAAAGAGAAGCAUUAUCGUGCGAAGCAAUGUUCUAGUUUCUAUAAUUUGAUCAUUGACAAGUGCGAAGACAGUCAUUCUGACUUGCCUUUCUUCAUAUAAUCUUAUUUUGAUGGAUGUGGUUGUAUUCGAGAAUGGAAGCAAAUUUGUUUAAAUUAUUUUGAUGGAUCUUUUAAUUUUGUAUCUUUAUUAAAUUUUAUGAUUUUUCAAUUUAAAUAUACUUGUGACAUGUUUAAUGUAUUUUAUGUCAUUAGUGCAAAUUAUUUUGUCAAGUAAAUCGUGCUGGACGAUUUCUAGUGAGAUGAUUAAUAAUAUUGUUAAUGUAUUAUCAAAAAAAAAAAAAAAAACUCAAGUCUUACCAAGCUACUCACUAUUAUUUGAUCGAAGGGUGAAGUGUCAAUAAGACAUGUUUCUAAGAUUUGUAGGGUUUUCUUAGAUUGACCAUUUUAAUUGAUUACAGAUUUUGAUUUUGAAUAAUCAACUUUUGUGAUAUUUUUUAUUACUUUUGUACAUUGAUUACAUAUUUUUUAAUGAUCAUUCGUUUGAAUUAUCUGUUUUUAAAAUAUUUACGAUAUACGAGAUUAUUUUUGAGGAUAUUUUUGAGAUUUUUAUGAUUGUUUUUGUUUGUAUAUUAUUGUAACAUAUAUAUAUGAAAAUUUAGUGACCAAUCCAAACGCAGAUUGUAACAGAUUACUCAAAGAAUAACCUUUGCUGAUUCUAAUUAUUCUUUAUAACAAUUUCUAUAAUCAAAUUUAUAUAAAGCAACCGAGAACAAGGUCGUAGUGGAGUUCAAGUGAAUUUAGUGACUUUGAAAUUGCAAUCUGGUAUUUGAAAGACACUCGUGAUGAUCUUUUGAAGAUUGAUCAUGGUUACCAACCCACCGUUAUUCCUUUCCCUCCUACAAAACUUUGAAGAAACACAAAAAUUCUACCCAGAAAUAAGCAAAUGAAAAACAGAAAGGUCAGCUACAAUAUGAGAUCACCAAAUACUAAAACUGUGAAACACUUGCCCUUUUUGUUUGGAUUAAAAUAUACUGAUGUGAAUUCAGAUCCACAUGAUAGUACUAAAGAAAAUAUGUGAAGUACCUCAUUUAGCAGCAAGAAGUUCAACAACAGGAUUUGCUAUUCAAAUCACCAACUGUUGCAUCAACUACAAAUACAUCUGAAUUAGUUUUAGGAAGCAAAUUUUUGGGAUUUUUUCAAUUUGUCGAUUGGAAAAGGGGCAACCGAAGAACAGCUUCCUCAGUCUCAAUAGGGUCCGAUCUCAAUAUCUGCAAAGAACCGGGUAAAAAAGAAAACCUGAAAUCAGUUUGAACGGUUCAAAUAAGAAGGAAAAAGAAAAGAAUCAAAAUUGACUUACUGGGUCUUUGAGAAUUGGCUUAGUGUCAUCGAGAGCAGGUCUAAAUUGGGUUUUUUCUGUCCUUCGUUUCAGUUCCGCCAUUGUUGCUCUUGCUCGAAGCCUCUGCUGCUGCUGCUUUCUUCAUUCUUUUCAGUUCUAGCUAAGUGGUGGGUUUAACUGGUAGGCGUUGGGCGUCCUUUCUAGUAUUAUGUAUAAGCGUGGCUUUUGUCUAGCUAGGUUGAGGGGAUCCAGUAUACAGAAAAGGGAAAGAAAAAAGAAGAAGAAGAACCUAAUAUAUAAUCAUUUGUCCUGAGUCCUGACUUACAAAAAAUAACCCUUUUCUUCUAACCCUCCCACUAUAGACACCCAGGCAUGUUAAUGGAUUGGUUUUUAUCCAAAUUUAAUUCAAAUCCAAUGUAUUUGGGUAGGGUUUGGAUUUAAUUUAUCAAAACCCUACUUAGACCUAAACCCUAUAAAAGAGUUAUGUAUUUGGAUAGAAUUUGAUUUUUUAUGAUUUAUAUCCAAAUCCAAACCCAUAACAGGCUUUACCAAACCCAUUAUAUAUAGUUAAAUAUAUAUAUUAGUAAAUUUAUAAAAUAUUCUAAUAUUCUAUGGUCAUUGGAUCGAAUACAGUAAGAUUUAAUGAAUUUUUUUUUUCAAGUUAAUCCUAGUUAUUUUUAAUUAGUACAAAUUUCAGAAAAAAGAAGAAAAAGUAAAUGCCAAAUAAAUGAAAGAUUGACGUAGAUACAGUUGAAGUUUUAAAAAUAAGUCGAAACUGUCGAUAAUAGUCACUUUUUGAGUUUAUAAUAUUGCAUUCAACUUCUUGAAUAUUAAUUUUAUUAUUUAAAAUAAAAAUUGGAUGAUGUUUAUAUUUUUGAAAUCUGCAUAUUUUUAAUAUAUUUUUACUUUAGUGUAUUAGAAAAUAUAUCGGUACCCAUUGAUACUCAAAUCUAGAAGGAUUGGAUUUGAAUUUUUUCAGGCCCAUAAGGCUUUGGGUCUGAAUUUAGGUCACUAAUUUAAUAAAUCUGGAUCUAAAUCAAAAGGAUCUAACCUAAACCUUACCCAUUGUAAUAUCUAGACACCUCUAGUAGAGCAUCCAAUGAAUGCCCAACAUUUGUUGUGUGAUUUUCAGUGGUAGCAUGGUUUUGCAUUUGAAAUUGCAUCCAUUCAACUCUCCUACCAUAAAUUCAGGCAUCUAUCUAAUUUGAAUUGUAAUAAGUUCAUUUGGAUAUCCACAUAGUUGAAUUAUUUUCCCCAUAAAAUGCAGCUCUCAAAGAUGAUCUUUUGAAAUUUGAAUUUUUGAAAUUUAUAUGAGAAUUUGCAAGAGAGACUGUGUUGAAAAAUUCAAUUCAAGAACCAUACUUUCUGGUGCUAAUCUGGGCAUGGUUUCAAUACUGCCAUUAUCCUAUGUUACUUGUUGACUAGUUGGAACAAAAGAUCCCGUAGAAUUUAGGUAGCUUUUUUCCCCCAACAGGUUGGUAGUUAAUUGUAUAAUAAAAUUUAUGUGUAGGUUGAUCCCUCUCACACAAGCUAGAUAUUGAAGAUUAAGAAAUUGUUUGUGGCUCCUGUAUAUAUGUUCCACAAAAAGAAGUUCAAACUGAAACAGUAAGCAUAGUGAACCUUUUGAGGCUAUGUCUUCAAGGGCUCAAUAUGAAGUCUGACAGUUGACCUGUCUGAUGAUCUCAUAGCUCUUAAAUGACUCUGCAAAUCUGCAUCUCUGGAUAGACAAAUCCAAUUGUUAUUGACAUCUUGAUACUUGAUCUCAUAACUUUCACCACUCAGGUUGAGCCGUUUCUUUAUCGCAUCUCUGAGUUGCAUCAGUCCUGAUGAAAGAGAGAGCUGAAACUUUAUCAUGACUUCUUUGUAUGUUGCCUUUAUUGUCAUGAGGCUUUCAUUUUGCAUUGUCAUAGCUUGUGGCAUAGGAGGUGAAGCAGAAGUAGCAACUUCCUCAGGAAUCUGAUUGGUGCAUGGCUCAACAGCAAGUCUGAUUGUUGGGUUUUCCUGUGGUUUCAUGAUAGUCACACAAUUAUGCAAAUCAUUGUCGCUGGUCAAUGGAAUCCAUUCAUUGGGUUCAGCUAGACACUUGAUGUCAAAGCUGUCACCGCUUAACUUGAACUGCUUCAUGACUUCGUUUUUCAGUUCCAUCAAUUUUGAAGAAAGGGAAACCUGAAGCUCUACAGUCUCCUCUUUAUAUGUUGCCUUUAUGGUCAUGAUCCUCUCAUUCUGCACUGGAUUUAUCUGCAGCAUAGGCUCCCAACAGAAUCCCUGGAACUUUCAAGGUGUUGAUUCUGAGUAGGCUCAAGAAGAACUUUGAUUGUAUUCUUCCUUUGUGACACCAUAUCAAACAUCAACUUCUGCAAGUCCACAUCAUUGGAUACUAAAAUGUAGUUAUUAUCUUCCUUUUGAUACUUGAUCUCAAAACUUCCAGUUGUCAAAUUUAACCUCUUUGUCACUUCUUUCUCAAAAUCCAUUAUCCCUGAAGAGAGAGAGAGUGGAAACUUAAUCAUGUCUUCCUUAAAUGAUGCCUUUAUCAUAAUUGUGCCUUCAUUUUCUGGUGCUGGUGGUGCCUUUAUACUCUCAUUGUGCACUGGAUUUAUCUGCAGCAUAGGGCUACCAACAGAACCCCUGGAACUUUCAAGGUGUUGAUUCUGAGUAGGCUCAAGAAGAACUUUGAUUGUAUUCUUCCUUUGUGACAUCAUAUCAAACAUCAACUUCUGCAAGUCCACAUCAUUGGAUACUAAAAUGCAGUUAUUAUCUUCCUUUUGAUACUUGAUCUCAAAACUUCCAGUUGUCAAAUUUAACCUCUUUGUCACUUCUUUCUCAAAAUCCAUUAUCCCUGAUGAGAGAGAGAGUGGAAACUUAAUCAUGUCUUCCUAAAUGCUGCCUUUAUCAUAAUUGUCCUUCAUUUUCUGGUGCCGGUGGUGCCUUUAUACUCUCAUUCUGCACUGGAUUUAUCUGCAGCAUAGGGCUCCCAACAGAAUCCCUGGAACUUCCAAGGUGUUGAUUCUGAGUAGGCUCAAGAAGAACUUUGAUUGUAUUCUUCCUUUGUGACAUCAUAUCAAACAUCAACUUCUGCAAGUCCACAUCAUUGGAUACUAAAAUGUAGUUAUUAUCUUCAUUUUGAUACUUGAUCUCAAAACUUCCAGUUGUCAAAUUUAACCUCUUUGUCACUUCUUUCUCAAAAUCCAUUAUCCCUGAUGAGAGAGAGAGUGGAACUUAAUCAUGUCUUCCUUAAAUGAUGCCUUUAUCAUAAUUGUGCCUUCUUCUGGUGCUGGUGGUGCCUUUAUACUCUCGUUCUGCACUGGAUUUAUCUGCAGCAUAGGGCUACCAACAGAACCCCUGGAAAUUUCAAGGUGUUGAUUCUCAGUAGGCUCAAGAAGAACUUUGACUGUAUUCUUCCUUUUUGACAUCAUAUCAAACAUCAACUUCUGCAAGUCCACAUCAUUGGAUACUAAAAUGUAGUUAUUAUCUUCAUUUUGAUACUUGAUCAAAAAACUUCCAGUUGUCAAAUUUAACCUCUUUGUCACUUCUUUCUCAAAAUCCAUCAUCCCUGAUGAGAGAGAGAGUGGAAACUUAAUCAUGCCUUCCUUAAAUGCUGCCUUUAUCAUAAUUGUGCCUUCAUUUUCUGGUGCUGGUGCUGCAGGGUGAGAAACAGAAGUAGUGCCUUCGUCAGGAGGUAAAUCAGAACGUGCUUGGUCUCUAUUACGUGUUCUCUUAUUGUGGUUUUCAGAUCCUCUUGCAUCUUCGUGAGAAAGGGAAUGAUCAGCUUUUCUCUUGUUGGUCUGUCUAUCUAUGCUACGCUCUCUGCAUAACUGCUUUUCUUCAUGUAUGACAACUGUAAAAAUGAGAAUUUGAAUCAAGAUUAAUACCAGGUGAUCUUGUCAGCCAUAUAAGCAAAUGAACAAUGCAGUCAUACUGAAAGCUAGGUUCAAAUUCAAGAUAGCAAACUCACUAUCAGACAUACACUCAGCAUCUUCAAGUUGCCUUCUUGACUGGUUUCUGGGAACCUUCACUCCUGGUGCCUUUACCAUGUCUUCAUUAUUUUGAAGAACAGGAAGAUUGUCCUGUGUUCGUACAUUCUCACAGUUGUUAUGUGAGAAUCUAAGCAAAGGUUGAGAUCCGGUUGUUGCACACAUUUCCAAAGAUUCAUCCAGUCUAUCAAGUUUAAUUAUGUUCAAAGGUGUAUCCGCCCCUGAUUCUUGUACAGAUGCAACCUUGAAACUCUGAAAGUUCUGCUGUACUGCAGCUAAAAAAGCUUUCAAGAGGGUCUGUGGUUUCCCAUAAGAAGGUUGGUACGGGCACAGAAAAAACUCUAGCACAUAAACUUCAUUUCCUGUGGAUCUACUUUGCAGACAGACAGCAAAAGAGCCAGUUAAGUUAACUUUGCGUGCACUAAGUACUAGGGGGUACUCAUCAAUACUUAACUGCUUCACAUCUUUGCAGAAGCAUGAAGCACCAGAUGUAAAUGCACUCCAUACAACACUCUGUCCUUUCUUUAAGCCAAACUGAAUGCAAUCCUUUUGGAAGGAGGAAACCUUCUUGACUGACAUAACUGAUCCCCUUUCACUUGUGCACAUGACACUUUCAUUAUGGUUCUCUCCAGUGCUUGUGAACCAGGUCUGAGCAAAACGUAUACAGUGUGCAUGACAGAAUGCAUUCAAACCGUUCUCAAUUUGACUGAGGUCAAAUUCAUGCUGAGAAAUCUGCUUUGGACAUUAUCAGUAAGAAAAGGAAUCAUACAGUACGAAAAGCGAGUCAGCAAUAAAAUAACUUAACUGAUACAUGUGAAAAAAAUGUGGCUAGAUACAGUCACCACUUACUCUAUCCUUGUGAAGUGACAAAUGUGCAUCACAAAUCCUCAGUCCUACGGCCUGCAGGAAAGAAUAUAACUAUCACUAUACAUUUUUGAGAUCAUCAUAGUGAAAUGAUUUCAGAAAUUGGAAUGAAAUUUUCUAUUAAGACUUGUAGCAUGCAAUGCAGGUAAACAUGACAGCUUUAUGACCGGAUUCGACUAUACAAGAACCCAACAAGAACAAAAGAAGUCCUGAAAUUAUACGAACAUCGCUUACAUCAGUACUAACACAGAAUCCUAUCUGAUGGAUGUGAAGCUGAAACCCCUUUGCUAUUUAAGGGGGAUCUUCACUAAAGGGGGAUCUUCACAGGAUCAUCAUGCCAGCUAUACAGCAUGGUAAUUGAAACAUAAACAAGUCAAAUAGAAAGUUCUUGUCCUUCACAUGAAAAUUUUUCCAACGCCAUGAGUUACAGCUCAGACUUCAUGGGACCAAACGUUGAAAAGGUUUCCACAUCAUAGAUCAUAGCUUAGACAUGAAUGAGUAAUUGUUCUAGUGCGAAAGCAAGAAUUCAUAAUAACUUUCACUAUCAUAGAGUUCAGCAGAAGCUAUGCCACUUCAAAUAUCCUCCACUUCAAGCCAGAGAUGUCAAUUAUGCAUAAAAUAGAUAGCUUCAGCUCAGAAAAACUCCAAUUAUUUGAAGACAGCUGACAUUUCAGGAAAUGUGUUAGCCAAGUUCUACAGCUAAUGUAUCUGAAAAUGACUCUGUAGCACAAGAAGCACAGAUUACUUCAACUGACAGAACUUUUGCAAUCUUUUUGGCUUCCUGAUUUCAUCCAGCGAUAUGAGAAUCUUGCUAAGACAAUUUUUUAGGGCAUGAAAGUAAUGGAAUUUGAUGCCAACCUUUGUAAAAGCUCAAUUAGCUGAUUCUUUUGAAUAAACAUAUCAUUUGCUGGCAGAGAACAAAAGAAGAAAUGAUCUUCGCGUCACUUCCAAUUUCUAAAGAACAAGGAGUUACAAAACAGAAAAAGCUCAAAAGAGAAGCUUGUUCCCCUUGCAUCCAAGACCAAAGCAUUUACAACAAGAAAAAUUAGCAGGUUUUUUGGGCAAAAUUUACAAUAGAAGCACAAUUUCCAUAUGGAGAGGCGAAUUAAACAUGCUAGUACUUUAUCCUUGGUGAAUAAUGGGUUGAGUUAGAAAUCGAACCUUGAAAGCAUCAUCAAUAACUUUUCCAAUUGCAUCAGUAAAGUAAUAAUUCCCAUCCCACGAAGUAAUCAGCUCAAGCACACCGACACAUUGAUCCCUAACUGACUCAAAAACUGGCAAAGCCAGGUAUCCAUUUACACCACAUCUAACAGCAGCAUCCCUCAGUUUAAACUCUUUAGAUGAGUAACAAGACACAUAUGGACUAAAUUCUGAAACCCCAUUUCUAAAAACCCGUCCAACAGGGCCAAGCUCUUCUUGACAAUCAAGAUCAUAUCUGUGUUCCAAACAACGCUUCCUAUACAAACAGAGUCCUUCGGUGAGCAGACUAAUACCAAAAGGAAGAUCUGAAGUCACAAGAAGCUGUUGGGUGCCUAUUGUUUUGGGCAUCCACAGUUGCACUAAAGUGGGAAGAGAAAAACACCCAAACCCUCAAGUGCAGAUUUGAUCUUUUCUUUGAUUGCCGCAAUCCCUUUGUUGUUGUUGAAUUGAAUAGAUUCAUCUUGGCUACAGAAGAUCAUAAGAUGGGAGAUGGACUUCUGGUCUGAUACAGAAAGUUGACUUGGCAUGAGACUGAUGAACUCAGAAACUGAAUAUCUUCCUCUAAGAUCAUCAACAUGGAUGAGUAAAGACUGGUUUUUUUCCAUCUUUGAUACUAUCUGGGAUUGCAUUUCCUAGCUUCAAGAAUUGUUCUUCAAAGCCCCUCUUUUAGCCAAUUCAAAGACUCGAAUAAGGGUUGUUGGCUAUGCAAUAAUCCAUAGAAGAAGGAUUCCAAAAGAGGUUCAAGAGCUCAUCCAUCUUGUAGCUUCUGCCUUCUGUGUAUAUGCAUCGUCGAAUGCAAAGAGUUCAGAUUUCAGAAUGGUUCAGGAGGUCAAAGUUCAGAAAGACAAAAGCAGACAAUGACCCCACGAGUCUAUGACAAUGACUGGUUUGUGGCCUACAUUUUCCCAAGGUGCAAACGACAAAUCCAUAUCACCAAACUCUAGUCACUGCGAGCUGUGGAAUACUGGAAGUGGAAAAAGUCUGAAAUAGGUCACAGUUCCACAACUUUUCGAAAGAAAAUCUGACACGUCCUGCGCUGGAUAAAGUAUACGCCUCCAUCCCCAAAAUUUUGCUUAAAAGAAUUUUCACGCGAUUCAAUUCAGUACGAGAAGAAUCAAACGCUCGGCCUCUUUUGAGAGCCUUCAGAAUUUCUUAUUAGGGAUAAUUUCAGAAAAGCUUAUGUGAAAUUUAAAAAAUUACACAUUCCUCCUUUAUUAUUUAAAAUAAUAAUAUUAUUUUUAAAUAUUUUAAUAAAAUUCUCUUGUUUGAUAUAUUUAUAUUUAGAAUGCCUUUAAAAUUAUUUUUUUUCAUUCUUUUUCCUUUUUAUUUUAAUUUUUGUCAAUAAAAUUGUAAAAUUAUCAUUAUUAUCUCUGAUUUCUAUUGUAACAAAUGUCGAACUAAUGAUUUUUUUGAUGAGUUAACUUUAUAUAUAAUCCAAUGUUUUUUGCUAAUAUUUGAUUUCUAUUUUUUAGUAUUAAAAUUAAUAAUAAAUCAACAAGAAAUUGCCCAAAAUUAUUACUAAAUUAUGAUAAUUUCACUGCUCAAAAAAUUCAUAAACUCUAAAUCAAUUAUUUCAACAUUUAUUGUCUAUCUUAUAAAUCUAAAUCUAUAAUAAAAUACCAUCAAAAGUAUCCUAUCAUAGUGAUAAAUUUAUUAUUGCAGUUGUUUAUCAAAUAAUAGAUAUGGAGAUGAAAAAUUCGGCACAUUUUUCUUAUAAUUACAUUAGAUAAUCUUAUAAUUUUAUAAGAAAGUAAAUUAAAACUCAUUACACAAGGCAUUUUGGGUAUUCAUUAAAAAUUUGACCAAGUCAAUAUUAUUUUAAGAUUUUGUUACUAAAAUUAUCAAAUCAAGAGAGGUAUAUAUAAUUUUUCAAAUCUUAGGAGAGUUUAGUGAAAUUGUUAGAAACCUCAGGGAAUGUUUCUGGAAUUAUCCCUUCUUAUUAUUAUACUUAUGUUUAGUGCUUCUAAUUAAGGGCUUAAAUUAAUCAUACUAAAUGAUUUGGAUUCACAAGUAGUUUGGUUAAGGGCUUGAUUCGAACUCAAUAUCGAUCGAGUUGCCGAGUUUAAGUCAAAUUCGAGCUACUUGAUAAAGUAAUCAAGUUGAGUUUUAAUUAGGGGUACAAAUUAACCAUGCUACUUGAUUCAGACUCGCGAGUACUUUGGUUAAAGAUUCAAGUCGAACUUGGCAUCGAUUGAGUUGCCAAGUUCGAGUUGAGUUUGAACUACUUGAUAAGGUAAUCGAGUCGAUUUCGGGUGAAAAAAAAAUCAAAAUUCGAGUAUUUGUCAAGCGUCUCGAGUAGUGUAUUUACAAUAUAGUUUUUAAUUAUUUAUUUUAAAAUUAUGAAAUUUACUAAAAACUGAUCUUAAAAACUCAAUUGAACUUGAUUGAGUUCAAUUAAACUUGAUUUGGUCGAGUUCAAACUCAAUUUUAAAGCACUCAACAAUUUUAAAUUCGAGUUCAAGUAUUUUUAUUAGUAGAACUCGAAUGACUCGAUACUUGACUCGACUCGAUGACAGUCUUACUUCAGACCCGAUCGUUGGCUACUGGCAUCGAUUUUGCCAAGCAUAUGAAGUUUCACACAAAAUAGUGAUCACAGAUUACACCAAAUUCAGGCUCCAAUUCGUUAAAUUUACAUGUCAUGUCAUGUGUCCCCUUCUGACAGAGUAUGCGGUAAUUUGGAAACCGCAGGGACAAAUGCCACAUGUUUACUGCAUAGUAUAAUGAUAUCCAAAAUCAGUCAAAAUUGGUCCUCAUCAAGAACGGCAAAAGAAAAACAAAAUCGGUGUAAAGUCUGAUGAUUUCCCGCCAGAUUGAGACCCUGUUACAACGGUCAAAAACCACUAGUCAUCUUCUUCAACUGCAAUCUCUCAGCAUCAAAACAGCUCUAGAUCAUCAAGAACACUUCCUUUCUAGACUUAUACUUGCAUCGUCUUUAAUAUCACUGCAAAUUUCAAGAGAAAUCUUUGACAAAUCACCGAUUACACCAUCACGUUUUUCUCGGAAUACACUGAUUCAAGGGUAUUCAAAGAGCUCAAUACCAUUAGAGUCGGUAAAAAUGUUCGUUGAUCUUCAAAGAAGUGGGAUAAAACCCGACAACUAUACAUACCCUUUUGUGCUCAAAGCUUGCGGGCGUUGUUCAAUUGGUUGGAGUAGGUGGGACUCUGCAUUCAAUGGUGUUGAAGAUGGUUUUGAUUGGGAUUUACAUAUAUGCAAUACACUGCUCAGAAUGUAUGGAGGGCUUCAUCUGAUUGCGUAUUCGAGCAAGUGUUUGACGAUAUGUCUCAAAGAGAUGUGGUUUCUUGGAGUUCUAUGAUUGCUGCUUAUGUUAAUUGGUACGUUCUAUCCUUAAUCAGUUACCGAAGUAAUGCUAAUUCUUUUGUUUUAUUUCCUUCUUACUUGUCUCAGCAAUUAGGGGUUCGUAAUUUAUCUUCGAAACACCUAACUUCCUUUGCAAUGAGUCGUAGUGGGGUUGUUCAUGGUAGAAAGCCCAACUACGGAGUGUACUUUGUUUAGAGAAGGGAAGGAGAAAAUCAGUUGGAGUAUGGGAGUCAGACUUCUUAGUCGACUCCUAUGUUUUUGGACGUCCAUUAAUAUUAUUAAUAUUUUUUUGGCUUCCAGCAACAAAGGCUAUUAUAAUGCAUAAGUAUCAUGCUGCACAAAUUCCAUUGAAAGAUAAUGACUUGUGCAUAGAUCGUAUAUAAUCCAAUUGAUCUUGUGGUACUUUGCUUAUGCUCUUCAUUUUUCUUUUGCUUUUACUUUCUGCUAAUUCUGGCCAGGGGAUAUGGUUUAACUCCCUAAACAACUUGUUCAAGCUCUAUUAGUCACAACAUGCUUUAAUCACAGAGUCAUAUACAACUUAUUGCAUUUUAAUUACUGGACUCCCGAAAACAUUAUAUUAUAAUAUUUAAUUAUCAAGAAUUAAGAUGAAGGUUUUGGUAUAUGGUAGCAAAAGGCAAUAAAAAUUAAUCUACUUUUCCAAAAUGAAUGAGUCUCAAUCUUGUUAACUGCAGCAUAUUCUUAAUGUUUAUAAUAUAAGGUGCCUAAAAUUUAUACUCUUUAUGGGCACUGCUUCUUCAAUUCAUUAGCUACUAUUUUCUAGGUUUUAGGUGCCUUAUAGCUUGUAUGGAUGUAGAUACGAUCACUGUAAAAAAAUUUCUUCCGCACUGUUUACAGCUGACCUUGUUUACAAGUUAGCUUGAUCGAUUAAGUGCUAGACACCCUUGAGAACUUGUUAUAUGGGGACUUAUGGCCGUCGUCUUGUGAAAUUGUGCUGAUUGUUGCGUCUCAAAAUGAAAAUUGAAGUAGUGGAAUGGUAUCUGAUGAUUUUAUUGUCGGCUAAGGGGAUUAUCUUUUACUUCCUUUGUAUUCUUUAGCAUGUAGUUAAGGCUCUCUGUUUCCAAUAUUUUAACAUUUUAUAGUCUUGAAGUUUUUGUUUGACCUAUAACUUGACUUUGAAUGAUUACAGUAACUGUCCUGUAAAUGCUUUAACUGUUUUCCAAGACAUGAUCAUACAACAUGAGAAGCCAAACUCCAUCACUUUGGUUAGCCUGCUUGCUGCAUGUACUCGUCUCCUCAAUGUCAAGCUUGGAGAAUCCAUUCAUUCCCGCAUUCUAACUAACGUGUUGGAUUGAAUGUUGAACUGGGAACUGCUCUUCUUGAGAUGUAUGCAAAAUGUGGUCACAUGCUGGAAGCGUUCCUUAUUUUUGAUUCAAUAAGUGAUAAAAAUUUGCAGUCUUGGACUGUCAUGAUUUCUAGCCUUGCAGAUAAUGGCUUUGGGGAAGAAGCUAUGUCAUUGUUUUCAAAAAUGCAAGAAGCUGGCCUGCAGCCUGAUAGUAAGUCAUUUUCUGCAGUUCUUUCUGCAUGUAGUCACAUGGGUCUUGUUGAUGAGGGAAAAGAUUAUUUUGAUAAAAUGGUAAAGGUUCAUAAUAUCAGGCCAACCAUGGAACAUUAUGGUUGCUUGGUGGACAUGUUUGGUCGUGCUGGAAAGAUUGAAGAAGCUUAUCAGGUUAUAAAGAGCAUGCCCAUGGAACCUAAUUCUAUUGUAUUGAGGAGCUUCAUCAGUUCAUGCAGAUAUCAUGGCCGUAUUGUUUGUGAAGAAAAAAUCUGAAGCAACUUCUUAAAAUAGAGCCUGAUGUUGGAGCAAAUUACGUGCUUGCUGGGAGUAUGUGCUCUCUUUCUGGCUAUUGGAGUGACACUAAUGACCUUAGAGUUUCCAUGAAAGAAAAAGGUUUAAAGAAGGUUCCGGGAGCAGUUGGGUGCAGCUGUCUAGUGCCUAAUCCCAGAAAACUGAUAAAAAGGCCAUAAGUUCCUGUUCUGGUUCAGAUGGCUUGAGACUUGCAUUCUGGAGAGCUGAUGAACAAUUUGCUAGUUCAAAAGGCCAUUAGUUUUCUUGGUAAUAAUGAUGUUAAGAGGAAGCCCUUUGCUUCUGCAAUCAAAUGAUCUUUGUUUGCUGGUAGGAUUCUUGGAGUCUAAACUAAUUUUGGAAGAGAUGACACAUGGUUUGAGUUGCAAAGCUUUUAUGACAUGAAUACCUUCAUGCAGGAAUGCUUCUGUGCAAUUUGAGGUUGUUUCGGUUGUGGUUGGUGUAGUAUGGAAUACCUAUUUGUAAGAUACACAGAAGUUUAGAGUCUUGCUAGCAAUUGAUUACAUGGUCUCUUGAUUCUUCUAUCACAGUGGGUUUCAUUAGAGCACCGAAUUAUGCAGAAGUUUUGCUGCUGAAGUUAAAUGGCUUGAAAAUGGGACUUUCAUUAAUUGUUACGUGCAUAAAAUUGCUCAGUAUCCAAUUGCUGAACCAAUUCAGUUGUAACAGACUGCAAAGGAAUCAUGUCUGUAAUUUCAUGUGAAACAAUUACAACAGACAAGAAACCAUGGGUUUCCGCCUGAGCACGGAAGAAAAGUGAAAGAUUCUCUAUCUCCAUGCAAAAUGUGAGAUGAUAUUUUCCUUUAGGGCCAAAUUUCAGUAGUACAAGCUUCAGCUUUGUUUGGCAGUGGCGUGCAGUUAGUUGUUUAUGCCUAUUGCUACCUUGUCUUCUGCUCUCUACUGCAUAAGAGUUUUUCAGAAUUAGUUUUUAAUGGUAUGGGCCAUUUAUCUCUUGCCUUUUGGUUUCCUUAUGGAUGCAUUUGUGCUCUAGACAUACUUAUGCGUAAUGCAAUGCUAUGUUCAUCUGGAAGUCAUUUCCUUGAUUUGAAAAUCAUAAAAGAAGCAUUUAUGUGGUCCAAGUUCUCGGGACCAGUGUUCUUCUUAAGUUAUAGUGUUCAAUCAGUUUAAUUUUCUUCUGACGUUUGGCAAAUUGGAUUGGUGGGCAGUGGCAGAUGAAGUGAAAGUUGCAGCAGGCAACGAUAUCAUGCUGAAAGCUGCAUGCUAGCACGAGUAUAUGAAUCGUGAAGAUGAUUAAAGAACAAUGAGAUUAUUUGUUAGAAAAUGCUCUCAAUUCCAGAGGAUCCAAUACUAAGAGAAGUAUUGCUCCCUUUAUCACAACAUUAAUGUACUCUAUUUAGCUUUAUUCAUGUGAUUUAGGCAUUUGCAACCAUGAUAAGAAGGAUGAUAAUGAGAAGGAUGAUAAGCAUGGCCUUGUUUGUACUUUGUGUAGAUAGCUAAUUGUCUGUUCAUGACUGCUGUCUUCUAAAGGAUGCUGACCAACGGACCUGACUUUUGUAGGUUAAGGAAGAGGAAAUGCCUUUGUUUGGAAAUCACAUAAGUACUUUCAGGUUGCAGAGCUCUAUUCAUUCUAUCUUGCAGUUCUGGCUUUCCUGGUUUUUUUCUAGGUCAUAUAAUUGUUGUAUGUUAGCAUCAAUUACGGAGGCUACGCUCUAGCAAUCCAGAGAAUACAUAAUUUAUGCAUGCCAGGGUGAAUUAGCAAACUGAGUUUGUUCUUCCUGCUGGUUCUCUAAGGUUAUGAACCUUUUUUUUCAGGAUUUUGCUAGAGCAGUAAACAGUUUAAGUCACAACUAAAAUAUCUAGAGAUGAAAUAUUGUGGCUUUCAUGAGAUGCUCAUCUGACCUAUUGCUGACAAUUGUGGAGAAGUCCUGAUGUCUAAUCAAGCUGACCUCUGUAAUGGCAUCCCUGAUGAAUGUACACGUCCGGUGAAAUGUGGAAAUACAAUUUUUUUUUGGGGUUUUGAUGCCAUAUGAUGUUAGUAACUUUUCAUUUUGGUAUAAGAACUGCUUUCUUUCUCUGAAUUAGUUUGGCAGCUGAUGCUCACGUUCUGAGUGUACAAACUUAUACUGCAAUUUGGAACCUCUCUUUCUGACCGUCACUUCUGUAGAUUGAACAUCCCUUUGAAUGUGUUUUGACAGCUGACAGUCUACACAAACCUUAAUUGCUUGCUUUAUUUUAUCAAGCUCAAACUUGAACUCAAGCUCGACGAGCUGCUAAUUUAAAGCUUGAGCUCGAAUUCGAAAAAUUAAAAAAUAAUUAUUUUAAUUUUUAAAAAUAAAUAAAAUAAUAUUUUUAAUAAUAAUAAAAUAUUAGGAUAUAUAUGUAAUUUUAUUAUUAAAAUAAAAAAAAUAUAUAUACUCGAAUCGCGAGCUAACAAGUUUAAUAUUUUUGAACUUGAGCUUGAGUUCAAGUUCGAUUUGCCCAGCUCAAUCUUGACUCGAAUUAUUCUGAACAGCUCGAUUCAAGUUCGAUUUGCCCAGCUCAAUCUCGAUUCAAAUUAUUCUGAGCAGCUCGAUUCGUUUGUGAUUCUUAACUACUUUGUCCAAGAAUGGUUCCAACGAAAAUCACAUGCAUGAAACCUGUGUUAUAGUCAGCGAGUUCAGUAUUAUUUUCCAGAGGACAAAAGAACAGACAAAAAUGGUCCCUUUUGUACCCCAAUUUUUUUUGUUUGAUGCCAAUAUUAACUGAUCUAGUGGCAACCACAAUGGUGGAAUCUUUAUAAGUUGAAGUUAGACGCUCAAUGGUUCCAAAGUGUUCAGGCUUAAUGCUGAAAUUUCCUUUUUGAUUCCUUUUUAUUUAACAAUAUUGGUUUAAACCUGAAAGCAAGAUUCUAUUUGCUUAAAAGCAGUUUUAGGAAACACAACACAAUUAACAGGAGGAGAUAAACCACAUUUCAAGUUCUUUCCCCACUCUUCUUCAAAUUUGGACUCCAGCUUCUUUCCCUCCAUACUUCGAAACGGUUGCUCAUGUUUGCGCAAGGGUCCAUGACUCUUCUUUUUAUCAUUUCCUAUUGGAUUUCCUUCUACAUUUGUUAUUUCGGGUGCGUUUAAUAAAAUUGAAAUCUGAAUUUUGAAUUCUAAAACUUGAAACCUAAUAUCUAGAUCUAUUAAAUUAGUAAAAUUGUUAAAAACUGAAAUCUUAAUAUUGAACAUAUUUUGCAUUAAGCGAUAAGUGAAUCGUUUAUGAUUUAGUUUUGAGUAAGUUUCACAUAAGUUCAUUUAGAAUCAUUUAAUUAAUUAAAAUGUUCUAUUUUUUUGUUAUCAAAUACACUUAAUGUCUGAACGUAUUUAAAUGUUGAGUUGAAUUAUUAAACAGGUCUUAAUUGCUCUAAUCUAAUCAUUUAAUAGGCUAAUAGUUUAAUUAAUUUUCCAAAUUAACCAAAAAUAUUUUUGACUGCAAUAGGGAACUAGGAAAAUGUAUUGAAACUUAUUGAGAAUGCCCCAUGUGCUUGCUUUAGUACUGUUACUUUAUAUGUUACCCUACACUGAAGCUUCUGGUUCAUCAUUUGUCUGUCUCAUUGUUGGUGAAGAUUGUGCUCCAAUUCCCAAUGAUCUUUAGAGAUCAAAGUCCAUCUUAACCAUACAGAGUAGUUAAUUAAUCAUGUUGAUCUUUUCUUUUCUUGGAUAAUUAGUUCAUUAAUCAUUUUCAUAUUGGCAAAGUGCAUUUGUUUUAGAAAACGAGACGCAAAAAUCAUCCUUUUCUUCUGUAAUCCAUAUCAACUUUACAUCAUUUAACUACUCAUUUAAAGGGAUGGUAGAAUUUCCCUUGAUUUACAUAGGGAGGUUGCUUUAAAUCAAUAAAACAGUGAUACAAGUGUUUUUAUGUUUCAGAUGAACACCAGAAAAUUAUGAUCAAUUUACCAUUUUCUUGUUUGGAUUUGAAUUUUGAAUGGCAUAAUAUAUAGUAGCAUGAUUAGAAAACACAUUUUCUCACAGAAAACACACACAAACCUGAAAACGUAGGUAUACAAUUACUCUCAGUUCUUAACCCCUUCGAAAGAAGAAAAAGAAAAAAAAAAAAAACCCAAAACAGGUUGUAUACUAAACUUCUAAUACUGAUAAACGUUAAAUAUUUACACAUGAGAGGUCAAAUUCUGCUGGUCUUCAACCCAGACAUUGCACUGGAAACUAAAAAUGAACAAGAAACUAGUCUCGUACCAUACAUAGAAACUACUGCGGCUACUAUGUAGUACUACAUAUUUCUAUCUUCUGCUAAAUAAAGGGAACCAACGUUCUUGGAAAGAAGUAUGGUGAGAGACCAUAAAUAGGAGAAAAAUGAGCAGAAGUGCAACCCCAACUGGAGAGCCUCCAACCCUGUGAGGUGAGUCCUCCUCUGGUGAAGAUGUCACAGAUGGACCACUUUCUGAAUAUUCGCCCCUUGAUAGCCAGUGCACCACAAGGAGUAAAAUCACAGGAAAAAUCAGCAGCACAAGCUUCAACUCCUGUAGUAUGUCUUCAUACUUGUUCUCGUAGUUGAUGUACCAUGUGAAUACCAAGAACAAGAAAACUACGAGCAAGAAGAAGAAGAAGUGAAUGGGUAGAGAAAGGUACUGUAGAUAAUGGUUGUAUGAAGACCUGUAAUAUCUAGCCAUAGUGGUUGAUUCUGGAAGUAGCUAGUAGUGUUGUGAGGAGAGUUGGAUGUCUAUUACAAAGAGUAGUAUUGUAGCUGAGAUGUACUAGAAAGCUAGCUAGGUGAUGGUGUGAUGUAUUGUGGAUACAAGUGUAGUAGUGCUUAGAAAUAAAUGUUUCCAAGUGGGGAUCGG
This 31662-nucleotide long non-coding RNA is filed under the name Coffea arabica (coffee). Its description in RNAcentral is "long non-coding RNA (CARA_LNC000029)". The record is from RNAcentral. Lineage: Eukaryota; Viridiplantae; Streptophyta; Magnoliopsida; Gentianales; Rubiaceae.